This is an RNA transcript of Cucumis sativus (cucumber), 2593 nucleotides long. It is a transcript of the gene named cysteine-rich receptor-like protein kinase 3, with no coding region annotated. The record is from RefSeq and is a predicted model, not a curated record. Lineage: Eukaryota; Viridiplantae; Streptophyta; Magnoliopsida; Cucurbitales; Cucurbitaceae. The transcript is spliced from 8 exons.
AAUUCACAAGUCAACGAUGGAAGCUGCUUCUUCUACUUCUCAUCCUUACAUAUUCAUUUCAAUGGCUUCCCUUUCAUUCACGACUUCUAUUUCACCCUUUUCCCCUCCUUAUAUUUCUUCCCCAUUCACAUUUCUUCCAUUAAUUUCCCAAAAUGAGUAAACCUUUCAACUUCUCCUUUCUCAUUCCCUUCCUUCUAAUGCUCUCCUUCUUUCGUCUCCCUAUCCAAUCAUCAGCUGAUCCUAGAGCCACUGAGGCGGCGCUAAUAUGUUCCAACAACACCGCUUCGCCGGCGGAGCGAUCGACCUUCGUGGCGAAUUUUUUGGACUCUAUGGAUGCUGUUACUCCACUUAUUGCUUCACAGCGAUUUGCUGCCGUUAUAAAUGGGACUGGAAAUACGACUGUUUAUGCUUUUGGGGAGUGUAUGAAUGAUCUUUCUCAAGCGGAUUGCGAUCUUUGUUUUGCCCAGAUGAAAACUCAGGUCCUGCGGUGUCUUCCAUUUCAGCUUGCUACUCGUGGGGGUAGGUUGUUCUAUGAUGGGUGUUUUGUUAGGUAUGAUUAUUAUAAUUUCUUUAACGAAUCUUUGAGUGCUGUGGAUAGGACUGUAUGUGGGAAAUUGGAUUAUAGUGGGAAUCGGAGUGUUUUUAGUGAUUCAGCGAUGAAAUUGGCGAGGAAUUUGAGUGUUGUAGCGCCAAAGAAUGAUGGGUUUGCUGUAGGAUCGGUGGAUUUUAGGAAUGUGUCUGUUUAUGGAUUGGGUCAGUGUUGGAAAUUUGUGAGAGGGAGUUCUUGUUCCAAGUGUUUGGUUGAUGCAGCUAAGGAAAUUGGUUCUUGUCCUCCAAAAAGUGAAGGAAGGGUGUUGAAUGCUGGCUGUUACUUCAGAUAUUCAACUGAAAAAUUUUAUUUCAACACCACUGCAACCGCCACUGGAGGAAAUAACAGUCGUCGUCUGGCGAUAAUUUUGGCUUCAGUAUCUGCAGCCGUGGCUGCUGCAUUGAUUAUUUCAACGGUCCUUUUCUGUGCCAGAAGGAGAGUCUUGAGGAAGCGCAACGAGAAAAGGCAACUGGGGCCUCUUGUGGCUAUUGUUAACAAGUCCAAGCUUAAUUUUUCAUAUGAGACCCUUGAGAAGGCCACAAAUUACUUUGACCAAUCCAAUAAACUGGGACAAGGAGGUUCCGGUUCAGUUUAUAAAGGAACUCUAUCAGAUGGUAGAGUUGUAGCGAUCAAGAGGCUUUUCUUCAAUACAAGACAAUGGGUGGACCAUUUCUUCAAUGAAGUAAAUCUUAUUAGCGGCAUCCGACAUAAAAAUCUUGUAGGCCUGCUUGGAUGCAGUAUUACGGGCCCUGAAAGCCUCCUUGUUUAUGAAUAUGUGCCCAAUCAGAGCUUGCACGAUUACCUUUUUGGUAACAAGAACGUCCAGCCACUGAGUUGGCAAUCGAGAUUUAAGAUUGUCUUAGGUACAGCUGAAGGCUUGGCUUAUCUCCAUGAGGAGUCGAAUGUGAAAAUCAUUCAUCGUGACAUAAAAUUAAGCAAUAUUCUGCUGGAUUAUGAUUUUACCCCAAAGAUUGCUGAUUUUGGACUUGCUAGACUGCUUCCUGAAGAUAAGACACACAUUAGUACUGCAAUUGCUGGCACACUAGGUUAUAUGGCACCAGAAUAUGUAGUUCGUGGCAAGUUAUCAGAAAAGGCAGACGUUUAUAGUUUUGGAGUUUUUGCCAUCGAAGUUAUCACUGGAAGAAGAAAUGGUCACUUCUAUCAAGAUUCAACGUCCAUCUUACAAAAGGUAUGGAAUCUUUAUGGAGAGGGAAGGCUAUAUGCAGCUGUUGAUCCAAUCCUUGCGGGUGAUUAUCCACGAGACGAAGCAUCUCGGUUGCUUCAAAUAGGUCUAGUUUGUGUGCAAGCCUUUGCAGACCUACGGCCAUCCAUGUCAAUGGUUGUGAAAAUGCUUACAGCAAAUUACGAGAUUCCCCAGCCAAAACAGCCUCCAUAUCUUCAUCCUUCAAGUGGAAGCAUGAAACCUCAGAAUUCCUCAGACUCAUCCAAUCCCAAUUUGUAUUACAACUCACGGACCUCUCAAAAUAGCAUGACCCAAAGCAUUAUCGACCCUAGAUAAGUUGAGUUCCCAUGCAAUCGUUCCAUAUCUUGUAUAUAUAACAUACUAUUUUAAAUCCCAAAUCCAGGUAUCACCUAACAGCCUCAAUCUCAUCCCUCGUCGAGUACACCAUCAAAAAUAAGAAACAUAACAUUCUAAUCCGAUCAAUUUCGUGAACGCCAGGGAAGAACUAUGACAAUCAAGUUAGUAUAGUGGAGAGAGAGUUUGUCCUCUCUGAAGAAUCUACCAGAAGAAAGACCAUCCAUUCCUUCAAACUGCAUAUUCUCUGAUGGCUUCCAGUGGCGUUUUCUCUGAUUUAUGAACCAAUUGUUAAUUUGCUUUUGGUCAAGCCCCGUUCUCUCUGCCAAUGCUACUUUAUCGGCUUCCUAUACAUUAUUAAAAUGCAGUGGUUAUAUUGUCUUCAACAUAGAACACAAAUAAUAAAAUAUUAUGAAUUGCAUCUAUAAAUUAAAGUUUGUAAAUUAUUAAGUCAAGUUAGUGUUCAA